This 3649-nucleotide long non-coding RNA is filed under the name Homo sapiens (human). Its description in RNAcentral is "non-protein coding lnc-ANKRD1-1:7". The record is from RNAcentral. Lineage: Eukaryota; Metazoa; Chordata; Mammalia; Primates; Hominidae.
AGUCUGGUCUUGUGGGGUUUAGGGGCUGGAAAUGGGGAAGAGCUAGAGCACAGCAUUUAGGAUUGAGUUUUAUACUAUUCGGUACUCCAAUUAUGAAAACAACGAUGAUGAUGCUUCUGACCUGCCCUGUUGGGCUGUUUCUUCCCCAUCCUUUUGAUGGGACCGCUGAGUUGCAGGAAAACAAGCUCAGGGCUCCCACUGAUUCUACGUUAUGGAGAAAUUUGGAUACAGAGACAGAUGCACACAGAGGGAAGAUGAUGGGAAGGGACACGGGGAGAAGAUGGUCAUCCCCAUGCCAAGGAAGGAGGCCUGGAACAAAUUCCCCUUCACAGCACUCAGAAGAAACCAGCCCUGCUGACACUUCGAGUUCAGACUUUUAGCUUCCAGAACUGUGAGACUAUACGGUUUUGUUGUUUAAGACCCCCGGUUUGUAGUACUUUGUUACAGCAGUCCUAGCCAAUGAAUACAGGUAACUUUGGGCUACUUCAUGAUGGCCCAGAUGUCUCUGAUCCUGUAGUGUGGUGCCCUAGCCUGGUCAACGCUUGGAGUUUUAUAACCCUCCAUAGCUUCAGUUUCUUCAUCUAUAAAAUAAUCAUGGAGCGUCUACUAGGUCUUGCAAUUAAUCUGGUAAAACCUUUUUCUUCAACAAACACCAAUAAAGAGGAUCAAAAAUAGCUUGCUUUUUUUUCAGGCUGGAGAGUGGCACAUAUCCACUGUUUUAUCUAGGGUUAGUUCCCAGGAAUAUCUCCUGUUCUCUGUUACAAUGAAGUCCAAAGGGCCUUGAUCAUAUUGACAUUCCGGAGAGCAUCAUUCAGUUCCUCAUAUUGAUUGAACUUAAUAAGUGGGAAGUGGCAAGUAGUUUGGACACUGUAGUAAAAAUACAUGUAUACCAGAGGGAGGGAGCUACAUCCCAAGGAGAUUCAGAUACUCUCCACAUUGGUCUAGUUUUUGGGUCCAACAGUCUGAGUCAUGCUGAGAAAUCCCAUCCAAGGUAAAGGACAAGUUGUACUUUGCUUCUCCUACCACUAAGAACAGGCACAGCACUAAAUAGGCUUCCUUGGAUUCUGGAGGCAGCAUAUACCAUACUUGGGACUAAUUCUCAACACAUUUAUUGAGUGACUCAGAAUGCUUCCAGCUUUCAGUGGGACCAGAGCAAGAGAAUCUGCAGCAGAUUCAGGCUGUGAUGCAGUGAAAAGUGUUCUGUCAUUCAGGACAUAUGACUCAUCAGAUCAGUAGUGCUAAAGAUAGCUAUGGCAGAUACAAAUUCUGUGUGGAGUCUCUGCCAAGGUUCAACAGAAGAGUCACAUCACAGACCCAAGGGUUCUGGAGUAAGGCCAUGCCAUCUAUGGCAGAGAGAUAGUUACCAUUUGCAAAGCAGCAUCUGGUGUAGUUCUGGGCCUUAGCAGAGGUGAAGUACCUGAGCAUGGGACAUAAAAUUACAGAUCAUGAGAUGGGUAUUAUCAGAUUCACCACUUCAUGAGAUCAGGCAAUCCAUUGUACAAUAGAAAUGGUACAUUUAGACUUGGAUCCAAGCAGACCCAAAAGGUACAAAUAAGUUUACAUGAAUAGAUUACACAGACCUUCAUGUUACCUAGCUCUAUUGCACAGAUUCCUCGACCUCAGUUCUCACCUAUGACCUCAUGGAGAUUCCCCUGCAAUCAACUGACAGAGGAAAGAAAAAUCUCCAGCCUGGCAUAGAGAUGGAUAUCUGAGUAAGUACAGCUAUCACAUUUCAGAAAUACUCAGAGGUAGUCCCAAAGGACAGUGCAAAAGGAAAAUCCUCCCAGUCAGCAAGACUUUCAGCAGUGUAAUUGGUCAUUCAGUUUAAAUAAAGCAAAAAACAGCUUGAGGUACAGACAUACACAGAACCUAGAGAAGUGAAAAAUGGCUUGGCUGGCUAGUAGGGAUCCUGGGAAGAGAAAGAUUGAAAGACCAGAUAAAAGAAAGUUUGCGAAAGAGUCAUGGAAAUGGGAGCAACACACCUGUAUCUUUGAAGAGGAGGCACUGAACAGGUAGGCAGGAUGAGUUGUCCUAUGGAUCUAAGCCAGCAUCUCCUCUCAGCCACCUCAGUACUUGGGCAAUGGGCCCAUGAGUGGCCAUUGUUGUAGGGAUGGUGCUAUCAAUGAGCCCAAGAUUAUGGCAUUCCUCUUGUUAUGGUUCUUCCAGCCACUGGCAUUCAUGAAUGCCCUUCCUGACAGCUACAGAGACUGACACUAGGCACUUGCUAUGGCACUAUUAUUGUAAUGAAACCAGCCAGCCACAAGGUAGCAUUUAUUAUUGAUCACGUGAUUACUAUAUUACUAGAAGGGGAGGUUUGGAUCAUAAUCUUGCAAGACACAGUCUGGAACGCUGUAAUCCCAAAUGUUGAAAUCACGAAAAAUCAAAAUCCCUAAAGUCUAAAAUCCCUGAUGCCUAAAAUUCUGAAGAUCACAAUCACAGAAUAGUUGCAUCAUGUUAGAACUAUUACCUUGUUGUUGUCUUUAUUUGGAAAUUAAGUACGGCUUAAGAAGAUGUCUAUGGGUGCCAAGUUAACAAGGGGCAGAUUUGUGGGCUUCAUUUUAGGUGUCAACUUGACUGGAUUGGAAAAUACAGAGAAACCUGGUAAAGCAUUAUUUCGGGUGUUGCUGUUCAAUCACCAGUAUUGUUUGCACCAAAUUUGUGACCUGUAUAUGAAUGCAUGCAGUAUGGACUUCCAAGUACCCAAAACAACACAGAAGCAUGACACAGAAUAUUGGACAAUUUAAUAGGGAACGUUCAUGUCGGUGACUCAUAGAAAAAGUUCAGAGCCAUGCCACGUAGAAAAUGAAUAUGAAUGUAUUCUCCAAGAAGAGCCAUAUCCAAAAAGAAAAAUAGCAGCUAUUCAUCAUGAUGCAAGAUUUCAACAUAUAGUUGAUGAUCGUGAAAGUUAGCUAGGUCUUAUGAAUGAUCGCCAUGCAAAUGCCCAUAAUCUAUUCCUGUAAUAUACUUUUUCAUAUGUUAAAUUUUCUUUUUAUGUUGUUUCUUUUCUUUUUUAGCUUUUUUUCACUACUUUAAAUUGUGAACAUUAUUUUUUACAAUUUUUUAUGCUAUGUGUUUCAUCUUCGCGUCAUUUCUGAUAUGGGAGGUAGACAUUGUGUAGAGAUUUUUUGAGAGUUCUAAUUUGUCUUACGCAUUAUUACAAACUUGACCUCAUAAAAGUUCAUUAUCACAACUUUGUGUGUGAGCAUUAUGUGUAUACAUAAAAACAUUGAAACUUUCUCAAUAAAUUAAGGGACCUUCUUUUCGUACAUCUGCAUUUGUGAAAGAUGAAAUUUCUCGAAACCUCAGCUCUUUGGGUAACCCCAUAUGCAGUGGUGACCCAUGGCGAUUUUUGAUUGAUCUUGUCAAAAGACUUAGGUUGUUCAUCACAGUACUUCAGAUGACCACAAUUAUAAAGCUGAGUGCACACAAUUACCAACCAUAGUGACAUUUGUUUAUACAUUUCCCUUUUUGACCUAUUUCUUUACCAUACAGUUUACCUACUCAUACCUGUUAUAUCUGUGUGACUGUCAUUAGCAUACCUGAGUAUUUAUGCUUGCAAAAAUAUGUGUGUUAUUAUUGUCCAUUUUAUUGCUUAAAGUGGCCCAUGAAAUGUUCAGAUGUGUUUUUAUGUGUUUCUUAAAUAAAUCCC